GUGCCAGCCGCCGCGGUAAUACGGAGGGUGCAAGCGUUAUCCGGAUUCACUGGGUUUAAAGGGUGCGUAGGUGGGUUGGUAAGUCCGUGGUGAAAUCUCCGAGCUUAACUCGGAAACUGCCGUGGAUACUAUCAAUCUUGAAUAUCGUGGAGGUAAGCGGAAUAUGUCAUGUAGCGGUGAAAUGCUUAGAUAUGACAUAGAACACCGAUAGCGGAGGCAGCUUGCUACACGAUCAUUGACACUGAGGCACGAAAGCGUGGGGAGCAAACAGGAUUAGAAACCCGUGUAGUCC
RNAcentral lists this ribosomal RNA (292 nucleotides) under uncultured bacterium. Its description in RNAcentral is "partial 16S ribosomal RNA". It matches the Rfam family "Bacterial small subunit ribosomal RNA", at positions 505 to 796 of the family's 1533-position model. The record is from RNAcentral.